AAUCGUGAGGGUUCAAGUCCCUCUAUCCCCAAU
Molecule: transfer RNA, 33 nt
Filed under: Eranthis hyemalis
Lineage: Eukaryota; Viridiplantae; Streptophyta; Magnoliopsida; Ranunculales; Ranunculaceae
Description: tRNA-Leu
Source: RNAcentral